RNAcentral lists this ribosomal RNA (253 nucleotides) under uncultured bacterium. RNAcentral's name for it is "partial 16S ribosomal RNA". It matches the Rfam family "Bacterial small subunit ribosomal RNA", at positions 524 to 776 of the family's 1533-position model. The record is from RNAcentral.
UACAGAGGGUGCGGGCGUUAAUCGGAAUUACUGGGCGUAAAGCGCACGUAGUCGGCUUUGCAAGUCGGGUGUGAAAUCCCCGGGCUCAACCUGGGAACUGCAUCCGAGACUGCAUUGCUAGAGUAUGGGAGAGGGAAGCGGAAUUUCUGGUGUAGCAGUGAAAUGCGUAGAUAUCAGAAGGAACAUCAGUGGCGAAGGCGGCUUCCUGGACCAAUACUGACGAUCCGGUGCGAAAGCGUGGGGAGCAAACAGG